CUCCUGGGAAGUCCUCGUGUU
RNAcentral lists this small nuclear RNA (21 nucleotides) under Arabidopsis thaliana (thale cress). Its description in RNAcentral is "snRNA_01374". The record is from RNAcentral. Lineage: Eukaryota; Viridiplantae; Streptophyta; Magnoliopsida; Brassicales; Brassicaceae.